RNAcentral lists this ribosomal RNA (253 nucleotides) under uncultured bacterium. RNAcentral describes it as "partial 16S ribosomal RNA". It matches the Rfam family "Bacterial small subunit ribosomal RNA", at positions 524 to 776 of the family's 1533-position model. The record is from RNAcentral.
UACGAAGGGGGCUAGCGUUGUUCGGAAUCACUGGGCGUAAAGCGCACGUAGGCGGAUUUGUCAGUCGGGGGUGAAAUCCCGAGGCUCAACCUCGGAACUGCCUCCGAUACAGCAAAUCUCGAGUCCGGGAGAGGUGGGUGGAAUUCCUAGUGUAGAGGUGAAAUUCGUAGAUAUUAGGAAGAACACCAGUGGCGAAGGCGGGCCACUGGCCCGGUACUGACGCUGAGGUUCGAAAGCGUGGGGAGCAAUCAGG